Condylostylus longicornis is the source of this 905-nucleotide long non-coding RNA. RefSeq lists it as uncharacterized. The record is from RefSeq and is a predicted model, not a curated record. The transcript has 3 exons. Lineage: Eukaryota; Metazoa; Arthropoda; Insecta; Diptera; Dolichopodidae.
UUUGAAUUAAGAAAAUUCAUGCUUUUAAGAAACCGAAAAUAAAUUUGUACUACAUUUAUAAAUAAAUAGCUUCCAAAUCACUUGCUGUGAAUAAAGACAGCCAUUUGUCAUCUAAGAGUCGUUAAUUAUCAGAAAAGUACUUAUAUGGGCAAUAAUAGUAAUGUGAAAAGAUGUCAAUCGAUGUUUUUCAAAUGAAAAAGCUAUAUGAACCAUUUUGACUUAUUUCAAAAGCUGAUUCGUAUCCAUGUUUUGAUGUUUUUCAGUAAUUUGAUGCAAUUUGAAGAAAGAAAAAAAAAAGAAAAAUCGUAACAAUCCAAAAAUGUUGCAGAGACAAACAAAAUUCUACCUUUAUUGAUUGUCUUCUUAUUCUUCUCUGUUGUUACCUUGUAAAUUUAACCAAAAUAAGUACCUAUAUACAUAUUUUCAAGUCUUUUUAAUAAAAACAAGAAAACCAAUUUAAUAUGAAUUUCUAUUGAAAGCCUGAUUUUCAUUGGAAUAAGAAAUUUAAUAUUAAAAGAAUAUACAAGUUAUGUAUAAGAAACUGAAAAUAUUUUUUUACACAAUAUUUAUAUUGAAUUUUUACAUUUCAGUUCUUUAUUUCGGAAGAUAGAGCAAAGAAGUAUGUACGUGCAUAAGUAUAUGUACAUAUGGGAUAGAGCGAUAUAGAAAAAAAUCAGUUGAAACAACAAGUAUGUAUAUCAAAUAUGUAACACAGUUAAGAAGACACAGUUAAAAUAACUAUAAAUAAUUCGUAUAGAAGUAUAAACAGUUUUUCUCAUACUUGCUUACAUACAACAUGUACAAGAUACCAGAUGUAAAAAUAAAUAGUUAAAUGUAUCCAGAGUUCUAUAUAACAUUUAAGUUUGUGUGCAAAAAUUCACAACAUGAGAUAAACAAAAUAUAAU